CCCCUAGAUGUUCUGGGCCGCACGCGCGCUACACUGAACAGUUCAACAAGUCUUAACCUUGGCCGAUAGGUCUGGGUAAUCUUUGAACGCUGUUCGUGAUUGGGAUAGACCUUUGCAAUUAUGGGUCUUCAACGAGGAAUUCCUAGUAAACGCAAGUCAUCAGCUUGCAUUGAUUACGUCCCUGCCCUUUGUACACACCGCCCGUCGCACCUACCGAUUGAAUGGUCCGGUGAAAUCUCGGGACGGCGGCUUGGUCGCUUGCGUCCGACUGCUGAAACUUGAUUAAACCAUAUCAUUCAGAGGAAGGUGAANUCGUANCA
This 320-nucleotide ribosomal RNA is filed under the name uncultured eukaryote. RNAcentral describes it as "partial 18S ribosomal RNA". It matches the Rfam family "Eukaryotic small subunit ribosomal RNA", at positions 1470 to 1796 of the family's 1831-position model. The record is from RNAcentral.